CCUCCGCUCCUCCUCCUCCUCCUCCCACUGCUCCCGGCUGGCUGCGGUCGCUCCCGCGGACCGACGAGGCCGCCCAAGGAGCGCGAUUUGGUACUAGCAGGCCGUGGGCCCGCUUCUUAAUUCUAGGGCUUAUUACAAUUAUCUUACCUUUUGGAGCGGCCCGAGCAGCUGACACGCGAGGAGAAGCCGUCCCGGGCAGGGACCUGGAUGUGCGAUGAGAAGGGGAGUGCAGGUCGAUGCCGAAGCAAAUAAAGCUUGAGCUUGGGCUUGAGGACAAAACAUCGCUUUAGCCUCACGCUGGGCACAGAGUGCAGGAUGUAACUGCAACCCCGGGGCAAACUUCAUCCACUUGGACACUCCUGAGGAGCAGUGCAAAGAAUCCCUUCCGAAGCCUUCAUUGAAAAAACAAAAUAGCAGUUUGGAGAAUCUGGCUGCAGGGGUAAAAGCUGCAAUAAACAAUGCACAAACCAUCCGA
Long non-coding RNA from Motacilla alba alba, 475 nucleotides. RefSeq lists it as uncharacterized. The record is from RefSeq and is a predicted model, not a curated record. The transcript has 4 exons. Lineage: Eukaryota; Metazoa; Chordata; Aves; Passeriformes; Motacillidae.